AAUGUUUUAUGGGAAUGAUUUUAAUGUUUCCCUGUCAAGUGUAACUGGUUCUACAUUGACACAUAAUUCAUUAUUAAGGAGGUAUCCUUCUCUUUCCUUUUUUAAAAGAUUUUUUAAAAUUA
Non-coding RNA from Ceratotherium simum simum (southern white rhinoceros), 122 nucleotides. NCBI's taxonomy places the organism in Eukaryota, Metazoa, Chordata, Mammalia, Perissodactyla, Rhinocerotidae. The record is from RefSeq and is a predicted model, not a curated record.